CGCCUCUUGAAAAAAAUAUAAGAGGUCCAGCCUGCCCAGUGACAAAGUUAAACGGCCGCGGUACCCUAACCGUGCGAAGGUAGCGCAAUCACUUGUUCUUUAAAUGAGGACUAGUAUGAAUGGCAUCACGAGGGUUAUACUGUCUCCCUUUUCCAAUCAAUGAAACUGACCUCCCCGUGAAGAGGCGGGGAUAAAAUUAUAAGACGAGAAGACCCCAUGGAGCUUUAAACUCAGUAUCAACUAUCUAACUAUACUCCAUCAAAAUUUGAUAGUUCUGACUACUAGUUUUCGGUUGGGGUGACCGCGGAGUAAAACAAAACCUCCACGAUGAACGAACCAAUGUUCCUAAUCAUAGAGCUACAGCUCAAAGAAUCAAAAAAUUGACAUAAAUUGAUCCAAUUAAUUUUGAUCAACGAACCAAGUUACCCUGGGGAUAACAGCGCAAUCCACUUCAAGAGCUCCUAUCGACAAGUGGGUUUACGACCUCGAUGUUGGAUCAGGGUAUCCCAGUGGUGCAGCCGCUACUAAAGGUUCGUUUGUUCAACGAUUAAAACCCUACG
This 560-nucleotide ribosomal RNA is filed under the name Kaloula latidisca. Its description in RNAcentral is "partial 16S ribosomal RNA". It matches the Rfam family "Bacterial large subunit ribosomal RNA", at positions 1817 to 2600 of the family's 2925-position model. The record is from RNAcentral. Lineage: Eukaryota; Metazoa; Chordata; Amphibia; Anura; Microhylidae.